UACAGAGGUGGCAAGCGUUGUUCGGAAUUACUGGGCGUAAAGGGCGCGUAGGCGGCCAUCUAAGUCCGACGUGAAAUCCCCCGGCUUAACCUGGGAACUGCGUCUGAUACUGGACGGCUUGAGUAUGGGAGAGGGAUGUAGAAUUCCAGGUGUAGCGGUGAAAUGCGUAGAUAUCGGGAGGAACACCAGUGGCGAAGGCGGCUACCUGGCACAGAACUGACGCUGAGACGCGAAAGCGUGGGGAGCGAACCGG
This 253-nucleotide ribosomal RNA is filed under the name uncultured bacterium. RNAcentral's name for it is "partial 16S ribosomal RNA". It matches the Rfam family "Bacterial small subunit ribosomal RNA", at positions 524 to 776 of the family's 1533-position model. The record is from RNAcentral.